UCAUGAGUCCACAUGUUCACAUGAUUAAAGGUAUUCCGGUAGACGAUGGGGAUGCGUUCCAUUAGAUAGUAGGCGGGGUAACGGCCCACCUAGUCUUCGAGGGAUAGGGGAGAGAGAGAGAGAGAGCCCCACAUUGGAACUGAGACACGGUCCAAACUCCUACGGGAGGCAGCAGUGAGGAAUAUUGGUCAAUGGGCGCAGGCCUGAACCAGCCAAGUAGCGUGAAGGAUGACUGCCCUAUGGGUUGUAAACUUCUUUUAUAAAGGAAUAAAGUCGGGUAUGUAUACCCGUUUGCAUGUACUUUAUGAAUAAGGAUCGGCUAAGUCCGAGAAAAGCAGCCGCGGUAAUACGGAGGAUCCGAGCGUUAUCCGGAUUUAUUGGGUUUAAAGGGAGCGUAGAUGGAUGUUUAAGUCAGUUGUGAAAGUUUGCGGCUCAACCGUAAAAUUGCAGUUGAUACUGGAUAUCUUGAGUGCAGUUGAGGCAGGCGGAAUUCGUGGUGUAGCGGUGAAAUGCUUAGAUAUCACGAAGAACUCCGAUUG
RNAcentral lists this ribosomal RNA (539 nucleotides) under uncultured Bacteroides sp. Its description in RNAcentral is "bacterial SSU rRNA". It matches the Rfam family "Bacterial small subunit ribosomal RNA", at positions 173 to 715 of the family's 1533-position model. Lineage: Bacteria; Pseudomonadati; Bacteroidota; Bacteroidia; Bacteroidales; Bacteroidaceae. The record is from RNAcentral.